RNAcentral lists this ribosomal RNA (465 nucleotides) under uncultured bacterium. RNAcentral's name for it is "partial 16S ribosomal RNA". It matches the Rfam family "Bacterial small subunit ribosomal RNA", at positions 28 to 507 of the family's 1533-position model. The record is from RNAcentral.
GAUGAACGCUGGCGGCGUGCUUAACACAUGCAAGUCGAACGGAAAGGCUCCUGCUUGCAGGGGUACUCGAGUGGCGAACGGGUGAGUAACACGUGGGUGAUCUGCCCUGCACUUCGGGAUAAGCCUGGGAAACUGGGUCUAAUACCGGAUAGGACGAUGGUUUGGAUGCCAUUGUGGAAAGUUUUUCGGUGUGGGAUGAGCUCGCGGCCUAUCAGCUUGUUGGUGGGGUAAUGGCCUACCAAGGCGUCGACGGGUAGCCGGCCUGAGAGGGUGUACGGCCACAUUUGGACUGGGGUUCGGGCCAGACUCCUUCGGGGGGGAAGCGUUGGGGAUAUUUCACAAUUGGCGGCAGGCCUGUUGCGCGGCGGCGGGUGGGGGAUGACGGCCUUCGGGUUGUAAACUCCUUUCGCUAGGGACGAAGCGCAAGUGACGGUACCUGGAGAAGAAGCACCGGCUAACUACGUG